UACGUAGGGCGCAAGCGUUAUCCGGAAUUAUUGGGCGUAAAGAGCUCGUAGGCGGUUUGUCGCGUCUGCUGUGAAAACGCGAGGCUCAACCUCGCGCCUGCAGUGGGUACGGGCAGACUAGAGUGCGGUAGGGGAGAUUGGAAUUCCUGGUGUAGCGGUGGAAUGCGCAGAUAUCAGGAGGAACACCGAUGGCGAAGGCAGAUCUCUGGGCCGUAACUGACGCUGAGGAGCGAAAGCAUGGGGAGCGAACAGG
This 253-nucleotide ribosomal RNA is filed under the name uncultured bacterium. Its description in RNAcentral is "partial 16S ribosomal RNA". It matches the Rfam family "Bacterial small subunit ribosomal RNA", at positions 524 to 776 of the family's 1533-position model. The record is from RNAcentral.